RNAcentral lists this ribosomal RNA (465 nucleotides) under Vreelandella stevensii. RNAcentral describes it as "partial 16S ribosomal RNA". It matches the Rfam family "Bacterial small subunit ribosomal RNA", at positions 338 to 795 of the family's 1533-position model. The record is from RNAcentral. Lineage: Bacteria; Pseudomonadati; Pseudomonadota; Gammaproteobacteria; Oceanospirillales; Halomonadaceae.
CCUACGGGUGGCUGCAGUGGGGAAUAUUGGACAAUGGGGGGAACCCUGAUCCAGCCAUGCCGCGUGUGUGAAGAAGGCCCUUGGGUUGUAAAGCACUUUCAGUGAGGAAGAACGCCUGGUGGUUAAUACCCAUCAGGAAAGACAUCACUCACAGAAGAAGCACCGGCUAACUCCGUGCCAGCAGCCGCGGUAAUACGGAGGGUGCGAGCGUUAAUCGGAAUUACUGGGCGUAAAGCGCGCGUAGGUGGCUUGAUAAGCCGGUUGUGAAAGCCCCGGGCUCAACCUGGGAACGGCAUCCGGAACUGUCAAGCUAGAGUGCAGGAGAGGAAGGUAGAAUUCCCGGUGUAGCGGUGAAAUGCGUAGAGAUCGGGAGGAAUACCAGUGGCGAAGGCGGCCUUCUGGACUGACACUGACACUGAGGUGCGAAAGCGUGGGUAGCAAACAGGAUUAGAUACCCGUGUAGUC